CCCUGAGCCAGCCCGGGGUGGGGGCCGGAGAGCCCCGCCCGCCUGGGAGCACCUGUGCGGCUGUCCCGCCCGGGCCGGCAUAGUCCCAGACCUGCAGGAGCCGCCGCCCCAGAGGGCCCCGCGUCCGGCCUCGUGCGUCCUCACCCAGCGGCGGGGACCCCACCUCCUCCAAAUGCGCGCCCCUCCCAGGACCCCCACGGACCCCUCCGAGCCUGGGCAACUCUGCCGCUCCAGGGACCCUCGGCUGGCACCAGGGCCCCUUCAGGCGCCCUCCCCGGGCGAGGGGGGUCCCAGGACUUUGGGCACCCAGAUCCUUCAGAAAUCCGGGCACCUCAGUCGGAAGUGCUUGGAGAGCCGCAACAGUGACCCUUCCACAAGUGGCCGAGGUGGUGGCCCAGGCCUGUGACCCCAGCGUCUGGAAGGCUGAGGCUGGAGGAUCAAGCCCAACGUGGGCAAUUGGGAGACGUCGUGAGACCCUGUCUCAAAAUAACGGAAAUGUUUUAAGGGCUGGAGAUGUAGCUCGGUGUGAAGGCCCUGAACUCGAUCCACAGUACCAUUGAAGAAGGAAGGAGGGCUGGGGAUGUAGCUCAGUGGCACCCGCCUGCCUUGCCAGCGCCAGGUCCUGAUUUGAUCCCUGGUACCAGAGAAGAAGAAGGAAGGAAGAAGGGCAGUGCUGCUGCAAGGCUCAGUUGGUUCCCACACGGAAACAGACGUGCGCCCGGGGCACAGCAAGCGCCUCGCACGCGGGAGCUGGAAGCCGAGCCAGCCAGGCGGCCCUUCCUCUCCGGGGUCCUCGAGACAGUGGCCAGCAGCUCCCGGGGGCCUCCGUUCCCGGGACUCCCGCGUCGCUGUGACCCCUCUGGCCAGCUGCUCGCUCCUGUCGAGCUGUUUUCUGCUCUCCACGGCCUCUCGUGUCUCUGGGCACUGUGGGUGGUCAGGUCAGGAGUGAGCACCCGGCCUCUGGACCUCGGGGCCCUGCCGAUCCCAGGCCCGGAGCCCUUCCCUCCGCACUAAGCUUGCGGCGAUGCUGUCAUCGGCUGGUCACCACCCUCUCCAGAGCGGGGUCCUCUUCUCUGGAGCCCAUCUUUCUGCAAAGGGGAUGCAGGGCCUCCCACAGAGAAGGGCCCCAUCCUCCUGCACCAGCCGGGCAGCGUGUCCCGUGCUUGGGCUCCGGCCAGGCCUGGCGGAGGGGCCGCAUCCACUGUCCCCUCUCCAUGCCUCUCAGUCCACCUGGCGCUGUUCAGCCCCUGGCGUCUGGAGGAGGACUGGGCUAUCACUUCUGGUCAAGUCAGUAAGUUCCUCCACCUGUGCCAGCGGAGGGACCUGGCCAACCCCUGACAGGAGCCAGGCUGAGGAUGAGAUCAGCCCAGGACAGAUCAGCACUGGGGGUCUGGCUCCUGCUCUCCAGUUUCCCGCUCUCCAGUUUGCCGCUCCCAGGGUCCUGAGGAACUUGGGGCAGGUGGGUGUGGGGGGAACGCGGGUGCGGAUCUCCGCCGUGAGCUCCACUGAGGCCGGGGACGCAGUCUCCUUAGAGCUUCGGUUCUUAGUCACGAUUUCCCAGUCUCCUCUCUGCCUGUCUUUCACUCCUACCAACCUCGGCAACAGGGGUGGAAGGCAGGUGUGAGCCACAGGGGCUGAGGCAGGGACGUCCCUGAGGCCAGGCCCUGGGGGUCGAGGUCACAGCACGGGCUGCCAGGACACCGCAGGCUCCAGUGUCACAGGUGCACACCCACAGACAAGGCCACUGUGGGGUGAAGCGGGGAGGCUGGGCCUGGGGUGACAGUGUGGCCACAGGGACAAGGGAGGCGCCUCACAAAGGGGACCAGCGGGCCACAGGCUGAUGAGACAGUGCCGCCCAAGGUGACCCAGGGCCCCGGGCACCGUGUUCCCAGCAUGUGAGUCCAGCAGGAAAACCCAAGGCAACUGCAGAGAAGGGGUCCCCAGCCCCGGCCCCUGCAGAUCUGGUUUGCUCCUGACGGCUGGGAGCUCCCAGGUGGCCUCUGGAGGCCUCUCCCCCCACACACCCAGGCUGGCCAAGGAGGAGCUGCGUGGGGCUCUCCAGCCCCUGCAGAUCAAAGGCCCAGGUGCAGGGUCCCGGGGUUCAGAUCCAGGGCAAGCCGCCCGGGGUGGGGAUUCUCGGAACACUGCUUCAUUCGGUUCCCUCCUCCUCAUAGCUCGGCUGCCAGGGUGCUGAGCGAGAAUGUUGGCAGGGCUCUUCCUGGCUCCCACAGUUCAGAGGCGCUGGCCGUGGGAGCCAGGAAAGGACCCGGGUGCUAGGGUCUCAGUGCAGGCAGGCGGGACAAGGCCUCCGAGGGCAGCUGCUUCUCCUGGCCACCAGGCCCCAGGCUCCUGAGCAGGUCACGCACCUGCAGCCGCCUCGCCACUGCCUUCCCCAGCUUGGGCGGGGGUUAGUGGUAGGAGCGCAGGCUCCCAGGCAGCACGCGCUGCCACUUGUGUGGAACAGAGAUGUCGUGUAUGAGGAGAUUGUGUCAGAGAGCUCUGUGAUACACGUGGUCCCCAAACUGACUUCAACUGACUUGUUUGCUCAAGUGACAGAAAAUGAUUGUAUGUAUUUAUGGGGUUCACCGUGCUGUUCUGAUGUCUGUGUGGGUGGGAAAAAGAGUGAAUGGGCCCUGACACACCCCUCACUCACCUCCUUCUUCCUUUGCCUGUCGCAUACUUUUCACUUCUGGGCUUGGAAGCCCUGGAGCCAGGUCUGAAGCAGAGGGGGGCCCCCAGCCCUGGGUGCUGCGUGUCCUGCCUUUCAUCAGAUUCAGAACAAAGAACAGCACAGUGAUGUAAAGACGAAGAAACAGAAUUUUAAAAGUUGCUUCAAUCCUGUCCUAUAAGACUUGGAAUUUAUGCUGGGCAUGGUAGCACACACCUGUAAUCCCACCACUUGGGAGGCUGAGGCAGGAGAAUCACUGGGAGUUCAAGACCAGCCUGGACCACAUAGCAAGACCCUGACUAAAAAAAAAGAGGGAGAGAUUUGGAAUUUUUGUUUGGACUUAAAAUUUUUAAAUAGUGAAGGAGUUUAAGGUGUCAUUUUUUGGUUUAAUAAGUGAACAUUGUAGUUCCUAUUGGCAAUAUUUUACUAAAUUGUAGUAUCUUGAAAGUUGAAAUGUAUUCUUUUUCAACGCUUAUUGUUUUAGAACUAAAGAAAGAGCCAAAAAAUUUAGUAAUUGUUGAAAUACCUUUUGCAGGUAUUUUGGUUUUAUGGAAACUUUUAUUGGUUACUAGAUAAUUAUUGACAUAAAAAUUAACAAUCAGAUCCUAAUCGGAACACAGUGCUGUGAGGCAGCAUCCAGAGCCUCGUAAACAACCGUCCCUGAGUCCCGGCUGCACCCACUGCGGUGUUCGCGGGCCUGGCCUGGCACGCACUGCCCCG
Molecule: long non-coding RNA, 3388 nt
Filed under: Heterocephalus glaber (naked mole-rat)
Lineage: Eukaryota; Metazoa; Chordata; Mammalia; Rodentia; Bathyergidae
Description: lncRNA (ENSHGLG00000048184.1)
Source: RNAcentral